GUAUUUAUUAUUUUUACAUAAGAAAACAUUUAUAUGAGAAAAAGUAUCAGCAGAGCUUACACAGUGAUAGGAUUAUACAUCAUGAUUUCCUCUUUAAACAUCUUUAUAAUUAUCAAACAUGAGUGAUUAAAAAAACUGAAGCUAAAGGUAGCAAUAUUCUCUAUACUGGCAGAUUUUUCAGCAUUGCAUAUGAACCCACCUCCGGUAAGUGGGUUAUCUUUCUAAUUUAUGACUUCAGUGAAAUCUGUUUCCUGGCAAUGGUUGCCAGGGCACGCCUUCUCUCUUGUUCUCCGUCAUGCUUACUUUUAAGCCUAAGGGCAAGAAAGAAAUAGACAGAAAGCAAGAAGUAGCAUGAGCAUCUUUUUUUGUGUGUGUGUGUGGCAUGUUAGGAAAAGGAGCUGUAAACACACUCCACUAAGCAUAGCACAUGCCUUGGAUUCAAGCAGUGGACCUCAAAGAGUAGCGUCUCCUUUUAAGCUUUGCAGGGCAAGUUUGGGGCACUGUCAGUGAAAAAUUGUCACUGCUUCUUGCCUUGGUGCUUGCCUGAACAACAAGGAGUUCUUCUAACUGCCUUAAAAGGAAUCUACUCCUCUCUCCUGCCACAGUGCCAAAUGCAAAUAUUAUUUGAGGAUAUCAAUCCUUAGAGACUCAUUCAAAAGACUUUAAAAAAGAAAAAGCCUCUGAAUUUACGAAACCAAAGCAGCUAUCAGGAUGAUCAGGAGAUGGGGAGACAGAGGAAAGAAAGGAGAGAUCUGUGGAUCCCGUGAGCACCCCAAAUUGGAACCACUCCUUACCGUGUCUCAAGGAAGCAACAGACCUCCAAACUGCAUGGUGUACCUCAAAAGAGCAAGACCCAAGCAAAAAGGGGGAUGGAGAACUGGACGUCGCCCAGAGAAGUUACACCCAGAACAAUUAGUCAUCAGCAACAAACAUUCCAUACAGCACAUCACAGAAGCAAGAACCUCCAAAGUCCAGUGCAGUUAAGAACAGAAGCAGCUGGAAAAAUAGAAAAAGUUGGUAAAGAGUCUACCACAAGGCCACACUUUGAAGAGUGAAAUGAAGAAAUUGAAAAUUCUGUGUAGCUGUAAUUGGAAGCCCUACUGUGAAAAAAGGUCACUCAAAAAUGACAUUGGAUACAAGAAGAGAGCACCAGUGAAUCAGAUGAAGGAAAGCAGAAAAACACACAAACUGGACCAAACCAAAGAUAUUUGCAUCACGUCCUUAAUGGGAAGGAAUCCACUGCACAUGGUAGUGGUUAGAGAUUACUGUCACACUGAAGAUACUGGUUAGUAAACUUGAUAUGGUUC
This 1307-nucleotide long non-coding RNA is filed under the name Pan paniscus (pygmy chimpanzee). RNAcentral describes it as "lncRNA (ENSPPAG00000045510.1)". Lineage: Eukaryota; Metazoa; Chordata; Mammalia; Primates; Hominidae. The record is from RNAcentral.